Molecule: long non-coding RNA, 1136 nt
Organism: Sapajus apella (tufted capuchin)
Lineage: Eukaryota; Metazoa; Chordata; Mammalia; Primates; Cebidae
Exons: 2
Source: RefSeq, a predicted model, not a curated record
UUCAGCUUAGUAUAUUCAAAUUGGUGUUUUAGAAUGUUCUCUUCCUUCAUCUUCAUAAAGAUAUUUGUAUUAUAGAUGUAGAAAUACUCUUGUAAGUUGUACAGGUUAUCACAACUGGGAAGUUACUUAGCAAGCACAUUGCAAAAUCUUCUCUAUAAAAUAUGUGGCCCACUAAUCUGUGUUAUAAUUAUCACAUUCAUGUUACACAGAUAAUCCAUGUAUCUGUUCUUGUAUUUACAAAGUAUUAAAAGUAUUUACUUCUAUUUUGCCAUAUUCCAAAUCAUUGACAAGGAGAUGGGUAUAAAUACAAAUAGUUUGGGGGAAUAUAGAUUUCUCAUAUUUUAAAGCUUUUCUUUAGAUUUUAUUAAAAUUUAAAAACAAACAUAACCUGCUUACUGCAUAUAACGUAUUUCAGGCAGCAUCAAUGCUAAUGGCAUAUUUCUGUUCAGUGACCUACAGUCACUAAACAUACUUAAGAGUAGGCAUUUAACUUUUUCCAUUAAGAAAUGACAGACUGAGGGAUAAAAACACCUUUCAAUGUUUUGAGGAAGCAGCAGCAUUUGAGAGAGAAUAACUGAACAUUGACCACCAUGUUAUUCAUUUAGAUAAUCCCUUUUCUGCAGCACAAAUUUCAGAAAUUUAUUUUUCUUCUACUCUUGGGUUCUUACCUAGCUGCUCCUCCCCUAUUAGGGAAAAGUAGAAAUAACCACAGUGGGGUUCCGACCACACCUUCUGUUUUGCAUCUGUAUGACCUAAUCAUUUUCCUCUUAACUUUUUGAAGGAAGUAAUGAAUGAAUAAUGCUUUUGUUUAUAUAUGUAGGCAUAUCUCACUAGACUCUUUGAAGUUUUAAUUUCAGAAGAUGAAAUAUUUACUUGAGAUGACUGGCUGUUUAAAAUUGUCUUAAAGUACAUAUUUGAUUGUGUUUAUUAUAAUUUUUUGUUACAAACUUAAAAUUUUAUGGCCAAAAUGUAUAAGAACCUUAUGUAUUUGUGAAGUGUAUAUGUACAGAAUUAUGUUUUCAUGGUGGAAAAUGAGUUAUAUUCAGGAAUCUUAACUUGAAUCCUGGGAACCAGUUUCACUGGGAAUCUGCUCCUUAUAAGAUUUUUUUUUUUUUUUUUUUUUGUAGAGACAGAAU